RNAcentral lists this ribosomal RNA (301 nucleotides) under uncultured bacterium. RNAcentral's name for it is "partial 16S ribosomal RNA". It matches the Rfam family "Bacterial small subunit ribosomal RNA", at positions 509 to 809 of the family's 1533-position model. The record is from RNAcentral.
CAGUCGCCGCGGGAAUACGAAGGGUGCAAGCGUUAAUCGGAAUUACUGGGCGUAAAGCGUGCGUAGGCGGUGAGUUAAGUCUGCUGUGAAAUCCCCGGGCUCAACCCGGGAAUGGCAGUGGAUACUGGCUCGCUAGAGUGUGUCAGAGGAUGGUGGAAUUCCCGAUGUAGCGGUGAAAUGCGUAGAGAUCGGGAGGAACAUCAGUGGCGAAGGCGGCCAUCUGGGACAACACUGACGCUGAGGCACGAAAGCGUGGGGAGCAAACAGGAUUAGAUACCCCAGUAGUCCCUGUCUCUUAUAA